Molecule: ribosomal RNA, 324 nt
Filed under: uncultured beta proteobacterium
Lineage: Bacteria; Pseudomonadati; Pseudomonadota; Betaproteobacteria
Description: bacterial SSU rRNA
Rfam family: Bacterial small subunit ribosomal RNA
Source: RNAcentral
GCAUAAUCUCUACGGAGAAAAGCAGGGGAUCGCAAGACCUUGCGCUCUUGGAGCGGCCGAUGUCUGAUUAGCUAGUUGGUGAGGUAAAGGCUUACCAAGGCGACGAUCAGUAGCUGGUCUGAGAGGACGACCAGCCACACUGGGACUGAGACACGGCCCAGACUCCUACGGGAGGCAGCAGUGGGGAAUUUUGGACAAUGGGGGAAACCCUGAUCCAGCCAUGCCGCGUGUGUGAAGAAGGCCUUCGGGUUGUAAAGCUCUUUCAGCCGGAACGAAACGGUCACGGUUAAUACCCGUGACUACUGACGGUACCGGAAGAAGAAG